RNAcentral lists this ribosomal RNA (461 nucleotides) under uncultured bacterium. RNAcentral's name for it is "bacterial SSU rRNA". It matches the Rfam family "Bacterial small subunit ribosomal RNA", at positions 30 to 504 of the family's 1533-position model. The record is from RNAcentral.
UGAACGCUGGCGGCGUGCCUAACACAUGCAAGUCGAACGGUAACAGGAAGAAGCUUGCUUCUUUGCUGACGAGUGGCGCACGGGUGAGUAAUACAUAGUUAAUGUGCCCCUUAGACCGGGAUAGCCACUGGAAACGGUGAUUAAUACCGGAUACUCCUUCUCAACAUAAGUUGAGUCGGGAAAUGUUUUUCGCUAAGGGAUCAGUCUAUGUCCCAUCAGUUAGUUGGUAGUGUAAGAGACUACCAAGGCAAUGACGGGUAGCGGGUUUGAGAGGAUGAUCCGCCACACUGGUACUGAGACACGGACCAGACUCCUACGGGAGGCAGCAGUGAGGAAUAUUGCACAAUGGGGGAAACCCUGAUGCAGCAACGCCGCGUGGAGGAUGACGCAUUUCGGUGUGUAAACUCCUUUUAUAAGAGAAGAAAAUGACGGUAUCUUAUGAAUAAGCACCGGCUAACUCC